RNAcentral lists this transfer RNA (70 nucleotides) under Grypocephalus pallipectus. RNAcentral's name for it is "tRNA-Asn". Lineage: Eukaryota; Metazoa; Arthropoda; Insecta; Hemiptera; Alydidae. The record is from RNAcentral.
UUAAUCGAAGCCAAAAUAGAGGCUUUCCAUUGUUAAUGGAAUCAUUGGUUUAUAGUUUAACCCGAUUAAA